This 253-nucleotide ribosomal RNA is filed under the name uncultured bacterium. Its description in RNAcentral is "partial 16S ribosomal RNA". It matches the Rfam family "Bacterial small subunit ribosomal RNA", at positions 524 to 776 of the family's 1533-position model. The record is from RNAcentral.
UACGGAGGGUGCAAGCGUUAUCCGGAUUCACUGGGUUUAAAGGGUGUGUAGGCGGGUAGUUAAGUCAGCGGUGAAAUCUCCGGGCUCAACCUGGAAACUGCCAUUGAUACUAUCUAUCUUGAAUCCUGUUGAGGUGGGCGGAAUAUAUCAUGUAGCGGUGAAAUGCUUAGAUAUGAUAUAGAACACCGAUUGCGAAGGCAGUUCACUAAACAGGCAUUGACGCUGAGGCACGAAAGCGUGGGGAUCAAACAGG